UACGUAGGGGGCAAGCGUUAUCCGGAAUCAUUGGGCGUAAAGCGCGUGUAGGCGGUUCCGUAAGUCCGCUCUGAAAGCCCAGGGCUCAACCCUGGGAGGCGGGUGGAUACUACGGAACUGGAGUACGGAAGAGGAGAUUGGAAUUCCUGGUGUAGCGGUGAAAAUGCGCAGAUAUCAGGAGGAACACCGGUGGCGAAGGCGCCACUCUGGGCCGGAACUGACGCUGAGGAGCGAAAGCGUGGGUAGUAAACAGG
RNAcentral lists this ribosomal RNA (254 nucleotides) under uncultured bacterium. Its description in RNAcentral is "partial 16S ribosomal RNA". It matches the Rfam family "Bacterial small subunit ribosomal RNA", at positions 524 to 776 of the family's 1533-position model. The record is from RNAcentral.